AUAUCAAUAAGCGGGGAAAAGAAACUAACAAGGAUUCCCCUAGUAACUGCGAGUGAAGCGGGAAAAGCUCAAAUUUAAAAUCUGGCGGUCUUUGGCCGUCCGAGUUGUAAUCUAGAGAAGUGUUAUCCGCGCUGGACCGUGUACAAGUCUCCUGGAAUGGAGCGUCAUAGAGGGUGAGAAUCCCGUCUUUGACACGGACUGCCAGGGCUUUGUGAUGCGCUCUCAAAGAGUCGAGUUGUUUGGGAAUGCAGCUCAAAAUGGGUGGUAAAUUCCAUCUAAAGCUAAAUAUUGGCGAGAGACCGAUAGCGAACAAGUACCGUGAGGGAAAGAUGAAAAGAACUUUGGAAAGAGAGUUAAACAGUACGUGAAAUUGCUGAAAGGGAAACGCUUGAAGUCAGUCGCGUUGGCCGGGGAUCAACCUUUGCUUUUGCUGGGUGCACUUUCCGGUCGACGGGUCAGCAUCAAUUUUGAGCGUCGGAUAAAGUCCAGGGGAAAGUAGCAUCUUCGGAUGUGUUAUAGCCUUUGGUCGCAUACGACGGUUGGGAUUGAGGAACUCAGCACGCCGCAAGGCCGGGUACUUUGGUGCCACGUUCGUGCUUAGGAUGCUGGCAUAAUGGCUUUAAUCGACCCGUCUUGAAACACGGACCAAGGAGUCUAACAUGCCUGCGAGUGUUUGGGUGGAAAACCCGGACGCACAAUGAAAGUGAAAGUUGAGAUCCCUGUCGUGGGGAGCAUCGACGCCCGGACCAGAUCUUUUGCGACGGAUCCGCGGUAGAGCAUGUAUGUUGGGACCCGAAAGAUGGUGAACUAUGCCUGAAUAGGGUGAAGCCAGAGGAAACUCUGGUGGAGGCUCGUAGCGAUUCUGACGUGCAAAUCGAUCGUCAAAUUUCGGGUAUGGGGCGAAAGACUAAUCGA
This 915-nucleotide ribosomal RNA is filed under the name Alnicola salicis. Its description in RNAcentral is "partial large subunit ribosomal RNA". It matches the Rfam family "Eukaryotic large subunit ribosomal RNA", at positions 40 to 938 of the family's 3401-position model. The record is from RNAcentral. Lineage: Eukaryota; Fungi; Basidiomycota; Agaricomycetes; Agaricales; Hymenogastraceae.